CUACGGGGCGCAGCAGUGGGGAAUAUUGCACAAUGGGGGAAACCCUGAUGCAGCGACGCCGCGUGAAGGAUGAAGGAUUUCGGUUCGUAAACUUCUAUCAGCAGGGAAGAUAGUGACUGUACCUGACUAAGAAGCCCCGGCUAACUACGUGCCAGCAGCCGCGGUAAUACGUAGGGGGCAAGCGUUAUCCGGAAUUACUGGGUGUAAAGGGUGCGUAGGUGGCUUGUUAAGCCAGAUGUGAAAGCCCGGGGCUCAACCCCGGGACUGCAUUUGGAACUGGCAAGCUAGAAUACAGGAGAGGUAAGUGGAAUUCCUAGUGUAGCGGUGAAAUGCGUAGAUAUUAGGAGGAACGCCAGUGGCGAAGGCGACUUACUGGACUGUUAUUGACACUGAGGCACGAAAGCGUGGGGAGCGAACAGGAUUAGAUACCCGCGUAGUC
RNAcentral lists this ribosomal RNA (439 nucleotides) under uncultured bacterium. RNAcentral describes it as "partial 16S ribosomal RNA". It matches the Rfam family "Bacterial small subunit ribosomal RNA", at positions 339 to 795 of the family's 1533-position model. The record is from RNAcentral.